CAGCAGCCACGGGAACACGGAGGGGGCUAGCGUUGUUCGGAAUUACUGGGCGUAAAGCGCACGUAGGCGGCUUGAUAAGUUAGAGGUGAAAGCCUGGAGCUCAACUCCAGAAUUGCCUUUAAGACUGCCGAGCUAGCAGGUGAGAGAGGUAAGUGGAAUUCCGAGUGUAGAGGUGAAAUUCGUAGAUAUUCGGAAGAGCACCAGCGGCGAAGGCGGCUUACUGGCUCAUACUGGACGCUGAGGUGCGAAAGCGUGGGGAGCAAACAGGAUUAGAUACCCGCGUAGUCCCUGUCUCUUAUAC
This 301-nucleotide ribosomal RNA is filed under the name uncultured bacterium. Its description in RNAcentral is "partial 16S ribosomal RNA". It matches the Rfam family "Bacterial small subunit ribosomal RNA", at positions 509 to 807 of the family's 1533-position model. The record is from RNAcentral.